UGGGGAAUUUUGGACAAUGGGCGAAAGCCUGAUCCAGCAAUGCCGCGUGUGUGAAGAAGGCCUUCGGGUUGUAAACACUUUUGUCCGGAAAGAAAUCCUUGGCUCUAAUACAGUCGGGGGAUGACGGUACCGGAAGAAUAAGCACCGGCUAACUACGUGCCAGCAGCCGCGGUAAUACGUAGGGUGCAAGCGUUAAUCGGAAUUACUGGGCGUAAAGCGUGCGCAGGCGGUUUGCUAAGACCGAUGUGAAAUCCCCGGGCUCAACCUGGGAACUGCAUUGGUGACUGGCAGGCUAGAGUAUGGCAGAGGGCGGUAGAAUUCCACGUGUAGCAGUGAAAUGCGUAGAGAUGUGGAGGAAUACCGAUGGCGAAGGCAGCCCCCUGGGCCAAUACUGACGCUCAUGCACGAAAGCGUGGGGAGCAAACAGGAUUAGAUACCCUGGUAGUCCACGCCCUAAACGAUGUCAACUAGUUGUUGGGGAUUCAUUUCCUUAGUAACGUAGCUAACGCGUGAAGUUGACCGCCUGGGGAGUACGGUCGCAAGAUUAAAACUUAAAUGAAUUGACGGGGUCAUAGCUGUUUCCU
RNAcentral lists this ribosomal RNA (584 nucleotides) under uncultured bacterium. RNAcentral describes it as "partial 16S ribosomal RNA". It matches the Rfam family "Bacterial small subunit ribosomal RNA", at positions 355 to 1375 of the family's 1533-position model. The record is from RNAcentral.